AUAGUGGUGAGAACCCCGUAACUGAUGCGGAUGCCCGGUGCUUUGUGAUAUACUUUCGAAGAGUCGAGUUGUUUGGGAAUGCAGCUCAAAUUGGGUGGUAAAUUCCAUCUAAAGCUAAAUAUUGGAGCAAGACCGAUAGCGAACAAGUACCGUGAGGGAAAGAUGAAAAGCACUUUGGAAAGAGAGUUAACAGUACGUGAAAUUGUUGGAAGGGAAACGCUUGAAGUCAGACUUGCUAUUCGGAGUUCAGCCGCAAGGUGUAUUCUUCGAUUUGCAGGCCAGCAUCAGUUUUUGGGGGUGGAAAAUCGUGGUUUGAAGGUAGCAGUUUCGGCUGUGUUAUAGCUUUCCACUGGAUUCAUCUUCGGGGACUGAGGAACGCAGUACGCUUUUUGCAAGGCUCUCGAGCUUUUCGUACUUAGGAUGCUGGUGGAAUGGCUUUAAACGACCCGUCUUGAAACACGGACCAAGGAGUCUAACAUGCUUGCGAGUGUUUGGGUGUCAAACCCGGACGCGCAAUGAAAGUGAAUGGAGGUGGGAUCCGCAAGGUGCACCAUCGACCGAUCUGGAUUUUCUAAGAUGGAUUUGAGUAAGAGCAAUUAUGUUGGGACCCGAAAGAUGGUGAACUAUGCCUGAAUAGGGCGAAGCCAGAGGAAACUCUGGUGGAGGCUCGUAGCGGUUCUGACGUGCAAAUCGAUCGUCAAAUUUGGGUAUAGGGGCGAAAGACUAAUCGAACCAUCUAGUAGCUGGUUCCUGCCGAAGUUUCCCUCAGGAUAGCAGAAA
Molecule: ribosomal RNA, 780 nt
Filed under: Basidiomycota sp. EM-2012a
Lineage: Eukaryota; Fungi; Basidiomycota
Description: eukaryotic LSU rRNA
Rfam family: Eukaryotic large subunit ribosomal RNA
Source: RNAcentral